Molecule: transfer RNA, 74 nt
Filed under: Clostridioides difficile
Lineage: Bacteria; Bacillati; Bacillota; Clostridia; Peptostreptococcales; Peptostreptococcaceae
Description: tRNA-Arg
Rfam family: tRNA
About the family: Transfer RNA (tRNA) molecules are approximately 80 nucleotides in length.
Source: RNAcentral
GGGUGCAUAGGUCAGCUGGAUAGAGCAACGCCCUUCUAAGGCGUGUGUUCGGGGUUCGAAUCACUGUGCGCUCA